This 366-nucleotide long non-coding RNA is filed under the name Fukomys damarensis (Damara mole-rat). RNAcentral describes it as "lncRNA (ENSFDAG00000027762.1)". Lineage: Eukaryota; Metazoa; Chordata; Mammalia; Rodentia; Bathyergidae. The record is from RNAcentral.
CAUUACAGCACUGUAUUGGACAAGAAGCUUCUAGCAACUUGGCUUGUACCAUGCCAUCAUGGGUGGAGCAGAGGGAAUUGAGACUGUACCUUGGCGAAGCUGCCUGAACUGCCUUGGUUGCUGCCCAGUUGUUUCUCAGAUCUGUGGCAGGCGGAAGAGGUGGAGCCCAGCCUGCCAGACCAGUUGCAAAGUGCAGAACAGGCUCCAUUCACAAGCGACCUGUGCCCAGCCUUGGCAGCACAAGGCUGACCUUUCCACACAGACUCCAGAGACUAACGGCUUGUCUGGAAAAUAAAAAGUAUGAAUAACUGACCAAAUUAGGACCCUCGGCCGGACUGUCUCAGCACCAGAGAAAGAGAACUCCAC